This 328-nucleotide long non-coding RNA is filed under the name Salvia miltiorrhiza (redroot sage). Its description in RNAcentral is "long non-coding RNA (SMIL_LNC012306)". Lineage: Eukaryota; Viridiplantae; Streptophyta; Magnoliopsida; Lamiales; Lamiaceae. The record is from RNAcentral.
ACCGAGAGAGAGAGAGUGAGAUUAGUUGUAUGUGUGUGUGUGUUAUGCGGCUGGGGGGGAAAAGAAAAGGGAGAAGAGGCUAGGUGUUGGGCUAGGGCUUGUUUGGGGUGGGCUUGAGUGUUGGGCUUUAGGUUUGGGUUUGGAGUGGGCUCGAGUCAUGGGCCGAAUUUCAAUUAGUUUUGGGCCGUGUCAUGGGCCGAAUUUUUAUGAGUAUUUGGGCCGAGAUUUUUAUUUAUUUUUAUUUCAGUUGGGCCUUUAAUUAUUAAAUCUAUUGGGCCUUUAUUAAUUUAUUUAAUUGGGCUGUGCAGUUUCUUUAUUUAAAAUGGAU